RNAcentral lists this ribosomal RNA (608 nucleotides) under uncultured Veillonella sp. Its description in RNAcentral is "bacterial SSU rRNA". It matches the Rfam family "Bacterial small subunit ribosomal RNA", at positions 28 to 605 of the family's 1533-position model. Lineage: Bacteria; Bacillati; Bacillota; Negativicutes; Veillonellales; Veillonellaceae. The record is from RNAcentral.
GACGAACGCUGGCGGCGUGCUUAACACAUGCAAGUCGAACGAAGAGCGAUGGAAGCUUGCUUCUAUCAAUCUUAGUGGCGAACGGGUGAGUAACGCGUAAUCAACCUGCCCUUCAGAGGGGGACAACAGUUGGAAACGACUGCUAAUACCGCAUACGAUCUAAUCUCGGCAUCGAGGAUAGAUGAAAGGUGGCCUCUAUAUGUAAGCUAUCACUGAAGGAGGGGAUUGCGUCUGAUUAGCUAGUUGGAGGGGUAACGGCCCACCAAGGCGAUGAUCAGUAGCCGGUCUGAGAGGAUGAACGGCCACAUUGGGACUGAGACACGGCCCAGACUCCUACGGGAGGCAGCAGUGGGGAAUCUUCCGCAAUGGACGAAAGUCUGACGGAGCAACGCCGCGUGAGUGAUGACGGCCUUCGGGUUGUAAAGCUCUGUUAAUCGGGACGAAAGGCCUUCUUGCGAAUAGUGAGAAGGAUUGACGGUACCGGAAUAGAAAGCCACGGCUAACUACGUGCCAGCAGCCGCGGUAAUACGUAGGUGGCAAGCGUUGUCCGGAAUUAUUGGGCGUAAAGCGCGCGCAGGCGGAUAGGUCAGUCUGUCUUAAAAGUUCGG